UGUUAUAUCCAUUAUAUAAGAGGACCAAGCUUCUCCGUAAACACAUCAUCACGCAGCAACAAUCCUCUCUCUCUCUCUCUAUCUCCCAAUCAUAUUAACACAAACAAGUAUGGAGCACAACAAGGUUGAUAUAGAGCUUCAAGAUUCAUACGAUGAUCAACAAAAAUGGGUUCUUGAUUCUUNNNNNNNNNNCUUCAAGAUUCAUACGAUGAUCAACAAAAAUGGGUUCUUGAUUCUUCUACCGAUAGCAGAGGAGAGAUUCCUCUUCGGGCUAGAACCGGAGCUUGGAGAGCUGCACUCUUU
This 303-nucleotide long non-coding RNA is filed under the name Capsella grandiflora. RNAcentral's name for it is "long non-coding RNA (CGRA_LNC000736)". Lineage: Eukaryota; Viridiplantae; Streptophyta; Magnoliopsida; Brassicales; Brassicaceae. The record is from RNAcentral.